UGAAAGUAGCGGAAGGAUAAGCAUUGCGAGAAGAUGGUGGUGGGGGCGGCAUGCCUUACUGCGAAGUUAUUUCGUUUCAUGUGUCGUGUUUGCCAGUUAAUUUCAACGUUAACUGCUCUCCGCUGUUUGAGGCACAGAAUAUGUUACUAUGCGCUUGAUCUGUGUAUGCUCAGGGGCUAUGCUGCUAGGGGUCCAUCGCCCGAGGAAAGCCUUCCGAGAUCCUCGGCAACGGCCCUGGCCCGCUGGAUGGCCCACUCCUGGUCAUCGGGUGCCUCACUGAGGAGGGCGGUGUUUACUGUUUACUUUUUGUCACUUCGUCGCUCCGCAGAAGUGUUCCCUGCCUACCCCAAUCCAUUAUCGCUGAAGCUACAAAGUCAUGCCACUUUCAGCCGAAUCUGGAAACAGGCAUAUCGGCGCGACAAAGCCCCUUCCCGCCCCCAGCGAGCUUUCCUCCUCGCCUCGAUCACCAAGUGGCGACCAGUCGCCAUGCUUACACGUGUUCAUACACACUCACUGGCGAGAAAGUUCUCCGUGGUGGCGGUCAGCGUCAAGGCCCUCCUUGAUCCAUCAGCAUUGCAGUUUUCGA
Dermacentor albipictus is the source of this 586-nucleotide long non-coding RNA. RefSeq lists it as uncharacterized. The record is from RefSeq and is a predicted model, not a curated record. NCBI's taxonomy places the organism in Eukaryota, Metazoa, Arthropoda, Arachnida, Ixodida, Ixodidae.